GGUGAGGUUAUGGCUUACCAAGGCGACGACGGGUAGCCGGCCUGAGAGGGUGUCUGGCCACACUGGGACUGAGAUACGGCCCAGACUCCUACGGGAGGCAGCAGUGGGGAAUAUUGCACAAUGGGCGCAAGCCUGAUGCAGCGACGCCGCGUGGGGGAUGACGGCCUUCGGGUUGUAAACCUCUUUCAGCUAUGACGAAGCGUAAGUGACGGUAGUAGCAGAAGAAGCACCGGCCAACUACGUGCCAGCAGCCGCGGUAAUACGUAGGGUGCGAGCGUUGUCCGGAAUUACUGGGCGUAAAGAGCUCGUAGGUGGUUUGUCGCGUUGUUCGUGAAAGCCUGAGGCUUAACCUUGGGCGUGCGGGCGAUACGGGCAGACUGGAGUACUGCAGGGGAGGCUGGAAUUCCUGGUGUAGCGGUGGAAUGCGCAGAUAUCAGGAGGAACACCGGUGGCGAAGGCGGGUCUCUGGGCAGUAACUGACGCUGAGGAGCGAAAGCGUGGGGAGCGAACAGGAUUAGAUACCCUGGUAGUCCACGCCGUAAACGGUGGGUACUAGGUGUGGGUUUCCUUCCUUGGGAUCCGUGCCGUAGCUAACGCAUUAAGUACCCCGCCUGG
Molecule: ribosomal RNA, 615 nt
Filed under: uncultured Actinomycetes bacterium
Lineage: Bacteria; Bacillati; Actinomycetota; Actinomycetes
Description: bacterial SSU rRNA
Rfam family: Bacterial small subunit ribosomal RNA
Source: RNAcentral